UACGGUCAUAACACGUUGAAACAUCGGUUCUCGUACGAUCACAGAAGUUAAGCAAAUGCGAGUCUGGCCAGUACCUAGAUGGGUGACCACUUGAGAAUAUCA
Acanthosepion pharaonis is the source of this 102-nucleotide non-coding RNA. Lineage: Eukaryota; Metazoa; Mollusca; Cephalopoda; Sepiida; Sepiidae. The record is from the annotation of a GenBank genome assembly.